Molecule: small nuclear RNA, 134 nt
Organism: Pseudophryne corroboree (corroboree frog)
Lineage: Eukaryota; Metazoa; Chordata; Amphibia; Anura; Myobatrachidae
Source: RefSeq, a predicted model, not a curated record
GUCUUGAAAAAGGUGAAAGAGAGAUGUUUAGCACUCCCCUUGACCAGGUUUUAAAAGGUCCCAGUGGCCUUUACAACACAUAUACGGUUAAGGUACUGCCACAUACUUAGUGGCAUCUCUAAACAAGUUUUUAA